GGGGAGGCUUUGUCCUGGCAGGAGGCUCAGGUAGAUGUCGAGGGGGAGGAGUUUCCCUCCACUACUACGGGUCUAACACCUGGGAUGGUGAUGUAUUUCAUCGGAAGGAUCGCCCCCAGUGCUUGGAGCGACAAAUUUCCGGCGAAGUUUAUCCCGUUACAUGCAGAAGUUGAAGCCUUCAUCUGGGCGAUGCAAUGUAUGAUUGGACAUGACUUCCGGGAUGUGGCUUUUCUUACCGACUGCUCCGACUUGGUGAAGAUGGUGUCUUCCCCAACUGAUUGGCCAGCUUUUGCAAUAUAUUUAGAUGACAUUCGGAUCGACAUGGAGGAGUUUUCUUCUUUCUCUUUGAUUUAUGUUUCUCGUAAUGCUAAUGUACGAGCGGAUUUUUUAGCACGCCAAGUGCGUGUGUUUCUGCAUCAUGUUUUGUUUGUAGACAAUUUUCUUCAUAAUUGGCUCGUCUGAGCUGAUUCUUUAGUAUAAAAAAUAAAAAAAACUCUAAACAUAGGGUUUCAAUUGA
Camelina sativa (false flax) is the source of this 517-nucleotide non-coding RNA. The record is from RefSeq and is a predicted model, not a curated record. Lineage: Eukaryota; Viridiplantae; Streptophyta; Magnoliopsida; Brassicales; Brassicaceae.